RNAcentral lists this transfer RNA (74 nucleotides) under Photobacterium leiognathi. RNAcentral describes it as "tRNA-Ala". It matches the Rfam family "tRNA". From Rfam's summary of the family: Transfer RNA (tRNA) molecules are approximately 80 nucleotides in length. Their secondary structure includes four short double-helical elements and three loops (D, anti-codon, and T loops). The record is from RNAcentral. Lineage: Bacteria; Pseudomonadati; Pseudomonadota; Gammaproteobacteria; Vibrionales; Vibrionaceae.
GGGGUUAUAGCUCAGCUGGGAGAGCGCCUGCCUUGCACGCAGGAGGUCUGCGGUUCGAUCACAUAGCUCCACCA